UACGUAGGGGGCAAGCGUUGUCCGGAUUUAUUGGGCGUAAAGAGCGUGUAGGCGGCCAGGCAGGUCCGCUGUGAAAACUCGAGGCUCAACCUCGAGAGGUCGGUGGAAACCGUCUGGCUAGAGUCCGGAAGAGGAGACUGGAAUUCACGGUGUAGCAGUGAAAUGCGUAGAUAUCGUGAGGAAGACCAGUGGCGAAGGCGGGUCUCUGGACAGUUCCUGACGCUGAGGCGCGAAGGCCAGGGGAGCAAACGGG
RNAcentral lists this ribosomal RNA (253 nucleotides) under uncultured bacterium. Its description in RNAcentral is "partial 16S ribosomal RNA". It matches the Rfam family "Bacterial small subunit ribosomal RNA", at positions 524 to 776 of the family's 1533-position model. The record is from RNAcentral.